CCUACGGUGGGCAGCAGUGAGGAAUAUUGGACAAUGGACGAGAGUCUGAUCCAGCCAAGUAGCGUGAAGGAUGACUGCCCUAUGGGUUGUAAGCUUCUUUUAUCUGGGAAUAAAAUGUUCCCCGUGUAGGAUUUUGUAUGUACCAUAUUAAUAAGGAUCGGCUAACUCCGUGCCAUCAUCCGCGGUAAUACGGAGGAUCCGAGCGUUAUCCGGAUUUAUGGGGUUUAAAGGGAGCGUAGGUGGAUUGUUAAGUCAGUUGUGAAAGUUUGCGGCGCAACCGUAGAAUUGCAGUUGAAACUGGCAGGCUUGAGUACAGGAGAGGUGGGCGGAAUUCGUGGUGUAGCGGUGAAAUGCUUAGAUAUCACGAAGAACUCCGAUGGCGAAGGCAGCUUACUGGACUGCAACUGACACUGAGGCUCGAAAGUGUGGGUAUCAAACAGGAUUAGAUACCCUAGUAGUC
Molecule: ribosomal RNA, 460 nt
Filed under: uncultured bacterium
Lineage: Bacteria
Description: partial 16S ribosomal RNA
Rfam family: Bacterial small subunit ribosomal RNA
Source: RNAcentral